This 72-nucleotide transfer RNA is filed under the name Nippostrongylus brasiliensis. It matches the Rfam family "tRNA". Rfam says of the family: Transfer RNA (tRNA) molecules are approximately 80 nucleotides in length. The record is from Rfam by way of RNAcentral. Lineage: Eukaryota; Metazoa; Nematoda; Chromadorea; Rhabditida; Heligmosomidae.
GUCUCGGUAGCUUAGUGGUUAAUGUGCAGCCUCGGAUAGGUUGAGAUGCGGGUUCGAAUCCCGCAUGAGAUG